Molecule: ribosomal RNA, 305 nt
Filed under: uncultured bacterium
Lineage: Bacteria
Description: bacterial SSU rRNA
Rfam family: Bacterial small subunit ribosomal RNA
Source: RNAcentral
UCUUCCUACGGGACGCAGCAGUGAGGAAUAUUGGUCAAUGGGCGAGAGCCUGAACCAGCCAAGUCGCGUGAGGGAGUACUGCCCUAUGGGUUGUAAACCUCUUUUGUCGGGGAGCAAAAGACGCCACGCGUGGCGUUCCGAGAGUACCCGAAGAAAAAGCAUCGGCUAACUCCGUGCCAGCAGCCGCGGUAAUACGGAGGAUGCGAGCGUUAUCCGGAUUUAUUGGGGUUAAAGGGUGCGCAGGCGGAAGAUCAAGUCAGCGGUAAAAUUGAGAGGCUCAACCUCUUCGAGCCGUUGAAACUGGU